RNAcentral lists this long non-coding RNA (1233 nucleotides) under Coturnix japonica (Japanese quail). RNAcentral's name for it is "lncRNA (ENSCJPG00005010939.1)". The record is from RNAcentral. Lineage: Eukaryota; Metazoa; Chordata; Aves; Galliformes; Phasianidae.
AGUAAAUAAUGUAGUGUGUUUGAAGGAAGAGGUAAAACACCAAACUUAGUACUUUUUUUGUUGUCCCCAUCAUUUCUGCUGGAACGUAAAGGGGUACUGCUGGGAUGCAUCGGUGUGGGCCAGGUAGAGCUGUUGGAUCUGAAGGCAGUUUCUUUGAAGGAUCCUAAUCUGCACAGCUGCAGUCACUAUCAAUCCAUACCCACAGUCCCAAGUCCCACCUUUGGGACUUCCAGCUUUUGGGCUGAAAGUCAGUAAGUUUGGGGAGCAAAGUUGUGAGCCAUAUGAAUGAAACCAUGAGCUUAUCCCAUGGGAAAGAAAUGUGGAUGUGCUGCACUUCAGCAGGGAUCUUGGAUUGUCUGACCAGGCCUGUUCUACUGGCUUGUCCUAUAGAUCCAAAGCAGGAAUGAUCCCGGUGCUGACUCCUCCAUCGCUCUGGAAGGAGUGUUACAGAGAACACAGAACAGUUUGUGAAGAUGAAACCAGGACUGCUGUCUUUUGUUUUGACGCUUUGCUGUGUUCUGGGAUCACAGGUGUUACUACAAGAUUCCAGUUUUUCACUGGGGAGAAUCCAAGUGUUUCAAGUGAGUUCAAGCAGAAUUUCGCUGCGUUGAACUGGCCUGAUUUGGGAUGCAAACCGACCUCUGAAACACCGAAAUUUCCCGUGGGAGCAGAAAUUCGGAAUUCUGCUCAGCUCCAGUUACUCUGUGCAUGGAAAUGGCCUCAAGCAAACAAACAGCGCAGACAGGAGAUGCGCCUGUGUCUAUUCACAAGUCCCUAUUCCUGGAGCCUUGUGAUAAUUCGGCAAUUUAUGAACUUUUCUUCAAUGGCAACAACAAAAUGCUUCUCUUCCUUGUGACUGGAGGGAGCUGCUGGUAUGAAACUCAUCUGUGAAAACAACUAGCACGCAACGUUCUAAAACUCUGUGGUUUUUCCAGAUCCAGUCUUAUGAUUUUUCGUUUUGGCUGAGGAGAGGGGAAAUCUGCCUCGUGAUUUUUGGUUCUCGUUAGCAUUGCUGUCAUGGUUGUUAUGUGUGGGAAUGCGGCUGGUGAAGCUGCACAGCUCAUUUCCCUCUCUCUCCCUAGAUACUGCCUUGGACAGCUUGGAAAUCCCUCAAGAUGAAGCUGUUAUUUUGAGUGCUUUUAUCAGGCUGGGUCAGGAGCUUGGGUCUGUCUGGGAAAAUAACUGUGCUGUGGGGUUGGAAACACCAAGGUCCUCAGCUCAGGUGGGAUGCAG